UCUCCGCACCUCAGACCCGCGCAGCCCCCGCCGUGCUAAAGGCGGUUCCAUCACCACUGCACCAGGGGGCCUGGGACCACAGCGGUUCCGGAGAGGUCCGCGCGUCAGACCACAGCCUCCCUCUGGUGGAGACCAGGGCCUGGCACCGCAAGUCCGUUCUGUCACUUCUCCGUAAGCGCGCAGUGCUCGCUUUGGUUUUCAACAAAAUGUCUCUUUAGAGAAUUUGUCCUGCUGUCCAUCUAUCCUGUGUGGACCCUCAGAUCAGGCCACUUUGUCAGGACAAGCCCAUGGGAAGAGGAUCCCUGCCUUCAACUUGCCACACCUGAUGGCACAAUUCCCCAAACUCAGCAGCUGAGGAAGUAAG
Molecule: long non-coding RNA, 364 nt
Organism: Ailuropoda melanoleuca (giant panda)
Lineage: Eukaryota; Metazoa; Chordata; Mammalia; Carnivora; Ursidae
Exons: 3
Source: RefSeq, a predicted model, not a curated record